GCUUACGUAGCUUAAUUUUAAAGCA
This 25-nucleotide transfer RNA is filed under the name Sphyrna tiburo (bonnethead). RNAcentral's name for it is "partial tRNA-Phe". Lineage: Eukaryota; Metazoa; Chordata; Chondrichthyes; Carcharhiniformes; Carcharhinidae. The record is from RNAcentral.